GACGAACCGUGCGAACGUUGUUCGGAAUCACUGUGCAUAAAGGGCGCGUAGGCGGCUUUUCAAGUCAGGGGUGAAAUCCGGCAGCUCAACUGUCGAAGUGCCCUUGAUACUGAUGAGCUCGAGGGAGGUAGGGGUAUGUGGAACUUCCGAUGGAGCGGUGAAAUGCGUUGAUAUCGGAAGGAACGCCGGUGGCGAAAGCGACGUACUGGACCUCUUCUGACGCUGAGGCACGAAAGCGUGGGGAUCAAACAGG
This 253-nucleotide ribosomal RNA is filed under the name uncultured bacterium. RNAcentral describes it as "partial 16S ribosomal RNA". It matches the Rfam family "Bacterial small subunit ribosomal RNA", at positions 524 to 776 of the family's 1533-position model. The record is from RNAcentral.